This is a small nucleolar RNA of Tachyglossus aculeatus (Australian echidna), 138 nucleotides long. The record is from RefSeq and is a predicted model, not a curated record. Lineage: Eukaryota; Metazoa; Chordata; Mammalia; Monotremata; Tachyglossidae.
CCCCUCUCAGGGUCGCACCUGGAGAGUUUUUAGCGCUCUACCAGUCUCGGCUAUGGUAGGGAGAGUCAAGCAGACACAUACCCAUUCCAUUCCUAGCCUGGGCAAUGGCUAGCAAGUGGAAGGCAAUCUGCUAUGAGU